ACUCACUACUAUGCCACUGUAUUAGGUUGACUGGAAGAAAUCUUUUUUAGAGAGAAGUUCGCCUUUACUAACAUUGUUAUUAACUUAUUGUUGUUACUGUAUGUUUUAGUGCAAUAAAGAAUAUAUAACUGUACAAGUACCGAAACAUACACAAGCUGUUCACGAUUGUCCUCCACAAUGGAACGAGGAACAUUGUGGUCGGCAAGACUUCCAUGGUGGAAGCUCGCAAAGAACACGAGGACAUUUCUUCUGUACCAAGAAAGCCUUAUUAAUGUCAGUGGAAUUACCCCAUACUAUUAAGCCAUAUCGCAAUGGUGAGGUUACAUAUCCGUGAUAUGCUAUCAGAGUUGUUUUCUCAUCAGUAGUUUUACUUAAUCUUUUAAGGAAGUAUACACAUUUAUUUAUUUUAUUUCAGACCUUAUCUAUUUGGGCUUUCCAGUUGCAAUGAUAAUCCAUUUUGGCUCCAAGAAAUGAGAUUUCAUGAAAUGGCUUAAUGCUUCGCUGUUAUAUUUUAUAUUUAGUCCAAGUUGUUUCACCUUUUUUUCUAAAUUGAAUAUAUCCGGUUUUAUCAAGAUUCAAAGUAAAAUAUUUUUCUUUAAGCCAUUGUGUGAUGGAACUAACUGUUAGGUUAAUGUCAUCUUCAAAGCUUUCCAAGUUCUCUGAGUCACAUGUAAUAGUAACAGAAAUGUCAUCUGCGAUAAUACUCAUUAAUGUUUUGUAACCUUAGGUAAAUCAUUUAUAUAAGAAAAAAAUAAUAAAGGCCCCAAAAUACAUCCCUGAGGUACACCGUAGCCAUUGUGCUUACUAUUUGAUUUAUAAAAUGUUAACACUGAUUUUUCAUCCAGAUGAAUAAUUUCAACAUGUUGAUAUCUAUUCACCAAAUAACUUUCUAACCAACUAUAGGCUGGCCCUCGAAUUCCAUAGAAGUACAGUUUGCUUAAAAGUACUUUAUAUACAUAGUCAAAUGCUUUUUUUAUGUCAAAGAAAUGUACUACAGUUUUAUUUUUACUAUCUAUGUUGUCAAUUACAUUCCUUGUCAAGUUAUAAAUAGCUAAUUCUGUCGAUAUAUUUUUUUUAAAACCAUGUUUAUGUCAUAAUAUAGAAGAAGAAGAUUUGGUAGAAAGUUGAAAUAAGAAUAAAAUUAAAAUCUUGUAUUACAAUUGAUCAA
Galleria mellonella (greater wax moth) is the source of this 1168-nucleotide long non-coding RNA. RefSeq lists it as uncharacterized. The transcript is spliced from 3 exons. NCBI's taxonomy places the organism in Eukaryota, Metazoa, Arthropoda, Insecta, Lepidoptera, Pyralidae. The record is from RefSeq and is a predicted model, not a curated record.